UACAGAGGGUGCGAGCGUUAAUCGGAAUUACUGGGCGUAAAGCGUGCGUAGACGGCUAUCUAAGUCGGGUGUGAAAGCCCCGGGCUCAACCUGGGAAUUGCAUUCGAGACUGAAUAGCUAGGGUGCGGUAGAGGUAAGCGGAAUUCCUGGUGUAGCGGUGAAAUGCGUAGAUAUCAGGAGGAACACCUGUGGUGUAGACAGCUUACUGGACCAUUUCUGACGCUGAGACACGAAAGCGUGGGUAGCAAACAGG
Molecule: ribosomal RNA, 253 nt
Filed under: uncultured bacterium
Lineage: Bacteria
Description: partial 16S ribosomal RNA
Rfam family: Bacterial small subunit ribosomal RNA
Source: RNAcentral